Molecule: long non-coding RNA, 1878 nt
Filed under: Mus musculus (house mouse)
Lineage: Eukaryota; Metazoa; Chordata; Mammalia; Rodentia; Muridae
Description: RIKEN cDNA 4833422C13 gene, transcript variant 1 (4833422C13Rik)
Source: RNAcentral
AUUCCUGUCUGCGGCUGCUCUCAGCUCUGGGAACACUGCCCUUUACUUUGCUUCCUUCCUUUUCCCACGCUCUCUCUGGCUUCCACGCCAGCCUAGCGCAUCCCUAAUUUCAGACACUCCAGUCCUUCAGGAUCCCCGGACAGUAUCACCUCCCUGGCCACCAGCAGCAGCCCUCCCCGACCGACGGUGCCCUCGCGUGGGCCGGCACCUACCCGCCAGGCAAGCGGUGGUGUCCAUCCACUUGAGCAGCUGCCCUGCGCUCAGCUCGCCGCGGGAGUCGGCAUGAGCCGGCUGGAUGGCCUGGCUCAUGAGCACCUCACCCGGCGCCACCAUCGACUCCAUCGUCCUGGCUGAGAGAACCCCAGACGCCAGCAGCAGGCCAUCCCGAUCCCCUGGGGCCCGCCCCCGCUCCAAAGGGCGCUGCCCGCGCCCGCUGCCAGGUGCUUAGGAGAGCACUGCUGGCCGGUUUUAAAGUCUCCCUUCAGUACCUACUUUCCCAACCUUGUUUCCUUCAAGGCUUUUCUUCUGGAUACAGAUUUGAAGUGUUUUAGUUGCUGCUGGUUGUAUUUGAAAAGUUUAAAUGAUGAGGUUUGGGGCCAUAAUAAAAAUCACCAUGAAGAAGGCAACAGUACCAGUUUUCCUCUUCAGCAGGAAGGACAUUAUCCAGCAAGGCUGCGUGCAGGCAGAGUCUCACGUCUGUUGAGAGUCUGUGGCAGUUUCUCGAGUAGCUGCUCAUCUCUCUGCAGAUGCCAGUGUCCUACUCAGCUGCAGGAGCAUCUGCUUCUGCUACCCAGAGGGAAAGGUUCCUGACUUAAUCGCUUGUCUGCUUAGAACUCUUCCUCAGUUGGAGCAGCUGCCUCUCUUCCAGUGCUGUCCGUCUUCACAAGGGGCAAGCAGAAGAUCAAGGUUGGGUGGGGCCCAGUGUCCAGAGCUCAGCUCGUGGGAAAGUUGAGAAGAGACAAACCAUAACUAUGUAUUUUAAGAAAGCCGAAAUGAACACGAAAGGCUUUUAGGACAUACACAUUUGUAAUCUGAUUUCAGGUUUUCUGAAGUGCCCCCUUGCACCAGCAGUUGCAGUUACACAGAGGGAAGAAAAUGUCAUUCAUUUUUUGCAAAGGCACUGUUCAGCAACUGUCUCACACAGACACCCCAUGCAAAUCUCUCUAGGAUACACAACUGUAGUAGUAAGUACAUUUCUCCUUUCUCCAGAAGGUUUGAGGUAACCUGAAAGAGAUACAAUCAGAGACAGCUCAUGUCUGCCCAGACCAUGUCCCCUGCAGGCUGAUGUAAGAGACUCAGUCUAGAACCACUCCUGGUCACAGGCUCGCAGAAGCCUACAUUGUAAACAUUUUACACUGAGCUUCAACUGGAACAAGAAAUCCUGCACGUAAACAUCCUGCAAUACAUUAUAAAUUUUUAACAGAAAUUGGUGGAAAGGAUGUUAUUUAAAAUAUUUCUGUAAAUUUUAUUGACUUUUAAGCUUCAAAGACUUCAGUAUUGAGAACUUUUGUUACAAUCUGGUUUUACGGAGAUAAUUAUCUUAGAAAUCCUGAUGGUGGAUUUAAUGAUCUAUCUUUUGUACAAAACACUAGUUUUGAUUUGGUUAUUUGGUCAACAAAUGUUUUAAUAACUGUUACAUGCAACUGUACAUUUCCACGUUAAUUUGGAGGGCUUUUUUGAAGCACUGACUCUCAUGCAGUUGCCAAUGCUUUUAUUUGUAUCGAAUGCUUUUAUGUACAACAAAUAUACUAUCUAUUUAUUAUUUCUUCAUUAAUUUAUGUUUAGCUCUCUGAGAGUUUAUCGAAUGAAAAAUUGUGUGUAGAUAAAUGCUCUACUGAAAAUGAAGUAAAUAUUUAAGACCUGAAAAAAAAAAAAAAA